RNAcentral lists this ribosomal RNA (400 nucleotides) under uncultured fungus. RNAcentral describes it as "eukaryotic LSU rRNA". The stretch from base 1 to 106 matches the Rfam family "5.8S ribosomal RNA", at positions 50 to 154 of the family's 154-position model. The record is from RNAcentral. Lineage: Eukaryota; Fungi.
GAAAUGCGAUAAGUAAUGUGAAUUGCAGAAUUCAGUGAAUCAUCGAAUCUUUGAACGCACCUUGCGCCCUUUGGCUAUUCCGAAGGGCAUGCCUGUUUGAGUAUCAUGAACACCUCAACUCCUCGUGGUUUGCCACGAUGGGAUUGGACUUUGGGGGCUUUGCCGGCUACUGUUGCCGGCUCCUCUCAAACGAAUCAGCUUGCCAGUGUUUGGUGGCGUCACAGGUGUGAUAACUAUCUACGCUUGUGGUCUCCCCACCAGGUAACCUUCAGCAAUGGAGGUUCGCUGUGGCUCAUAAACGUCUCUCCUCUGUGAGAGACAGCUUUUUAACGUUUGAUCUCAAAUCAGGUAGGACUACCCGCUGAACUUAAGCAUAUCAAUAAGCGGAGGAAAAGAAACU